CCACAAUGAUGAAUUGCCCAGACAUUCACAGUUUCCACCAGAAUUGAACUUGUGUUGGCAUACUAGCUUUCUUCCUUGUUUGUCGGAGUGA
Molecule: small nucleolar RNA, 91 nt
Filed under: Dasypus novemcinctus (nine-banded armadillo)
Lineage: Eukaryota; Metazoa; Chordata; Mammalia; Cingulata; Dasypodidae
Description: Small nucleolar RNA SNORD14 (ENSDNOG00000041842.1)
Source: RNAcentral